GAAAAGCGGCCCGACCUGCUUGGGGUGUAGUGGGCGGACCGCGCGGCUGGAGGUGUGAGGAUCCGAACCCAGGGGUGGGGGGUGGAGGUGGCUUCUGCGAUCGAAGGGGACUUGAGACUCACCGGCCGCACGCCAUGAGGGCCCUGUGGGUGCUGGGCCUCUGCUGCGUCCUGCUGACCUUCGGGUCGGUCAGAGCUGACGAUGAAGUUGAUGUGGAUGGUACAGUAGAAGAGGAUCUGGGUAAAAGUAGAGAAGGAUCAAGGACGGAUGAUGAAGUAGUACAGAGGUUUGUGUUCAUUUGAACUUACGUAUACAGAUAAGCCGUGUGAACCUUGUGAGUUACGGUCACUUCUUAUGUAUCUCUUCUCCAAAGGUCCAGAUAAAGUCUAACACCCUGUAUUUAAAUACCCGGUGAGUUGUGUGCAUACAUACCUCCUAACUUGUCCCUAGGAGUGAUGAAAAUUGAGUGAAUUCCUUUGAAAACUAUAUUGCAGAAUACUAGCACCAUAAACUUUGUAAGACUUUAUAGAAGAGACUUUCAGUUGGAUUUGUAUUCAUUAACUGUGUACACCGAGUAAGUUUAAAAAUGGGAUUUCUGUCAGUUGAACAAUAUUUUAAAAUUUGGCCUCUUGGGACUUAUUGACAGUUUUGAAGUCCUCACUGUGGAGCAUAAAUGAGUAUGACUUUGCUUUUUAGUAGAGGAAAGUUGGGAUUUUUUUUUUUUCUGGCAAUUUUAAGAACCGAGUAUUUCCAGUGCAAUGUUAAAGGUAGCCUACUGCUGUGCUAACAUAAGACGGUAUAUCAGUAAUAUUUUAUAAAGGUUUCCAUUUUAACCCC
RNAcentral lists this small RNA (837 nucleotides) under Pan troglodytes (chimpanzee). RNAcentral's name for it is "retained intron". Lineage: Eukaryota; Metazoa; Chordata; Mammalia; Primates; Hominidae. The record is from RNAcentral.